GACAGAGGGGGCAAGCGUUGCUCGGAAUCACUGGGCGUAAAGGGCGCGUAGGCGGGAUGGCAAGUCAGUCGUGAAAUCUCUCGGCUCAACCGAGAAACGUCGGCUGAUACUGCCGUUCUUGAGGGAUGCAGAGGAGACUGGAAUUCCCGGUGUAGCGGUGAAAUGUGUAGAGAUCGGGAGGAACACCAGUGGCGAAGGCGGCCAACUGGGCUGCCUCUGACGCUGAGGGACGAAAGCGUGGGUAGCAAACCGGAUUAGAAACCCUGGUAGU
This 271-nucleotide ribosomal RNA is filed under the name uncultured bacterium. Its description in RNAcentral is "partial 16S ribosomal RNA". It matches the Rfam family "Bacterial small subunit ribosomal RNA", at positions 524 to 794 of the family's 1533-position model. The record is from RNAcentral.